GACGAACGCUGGCGGCGUGCCUAAUACAUGCAAGUUGAGCGCUGAAGGUUGGUACUUGUACCAACUGGAUGAGCAGCGAACGGGUGAGUAACGCGUGGGGAAUCUGCCUUUGAGCGGGGGACAACAUUUGGAAACGAAUGCUAAUACCGCAUAAAAACUUUAAACACAAGUUUUAAGUUUGAAAGAUGCAAUUGCAUCACUCAAAGAUGAUCCCGCGUUGUAUUAGCUAGUUGGUGAGGUAAAGGCUCACCAAGGCGAUGAUACAUAGCCGACCUGAGAGGGUGAUCGGCCACAUUGGGACUGAGACACGGCCCAAACUCCUACGGGAGGCAGCAGUAGGGAAUCUUCGGCAAUGGACGAAAGUCUGACCGAGCAACGCCGCGUGAGUGAAGAAGGUUUUCGGAUCGUAAAACUCUGUUGGUAGAGAAGAACGUUGGUGAGAGUGGAAAGCUCAACAAGUGACGGUAACUACACAGAAAGGGACGGCUAACUACGUG
RNAcentral lists this ribosomal RNA (497 nucleotides) under uncultured bacterium. RNAcentral's name for it is "partial 16S ribosomal RNA". It matches the Rfam family "Bacterial small subunit ribosomal RNA", at positions 28 to 507 of the family's 1533-position model. The record is from RNAcentral.